Molecule: long non-coding RNA, 384 nt
Filed under: Homo sapiens (human)
Lineage: Eukaryota; Metazoa; Chordata; Mammalia; Primates; Hominidae
Description: HSALNT0331806
Source: RNAcentral
UGCGAGUGAAGGAGUCACGAUGGAGUCCGUCUGGCUCUCUUAGCUAAGGAAGAGUCACUUCAGGUUAAAACAAGCUGUAACUCUGCUUAUUUUCAGGAAAAAGAAUGCCUGUGUUUCGAAGUUCCUUCUUAGGACGAAACCAGCUGAAGCUGGCGAAAUCCAAGAUGGCGCCUCUGAAGAGCCUCUGGCUUUAUCAUCAUCCUGUUCUCAUGCUAAACAACAUGUCGCCAUGACAACGACUGGAAGAGACCAAGAAGGGACAGAAAAAAAGGGGUUUCUUGAUUCCGGGAAAAAUCUCCGUUCUUUCCCAAGGAAAGCACGAAUAUUCCCCCCCGUGCUCUUAAUGCCCAGCCCCUUCAUUAAAGACACCCUACCUCUGAAACU